Molecule: ribosomal RNA, 541 nt
Filed under: uncultured Mycobacterium sp.
Lineage: Bacteria; Bacillati; Actinomycetota; Actinomycetes; Mycobacteriales; Mycobacteriaceae
Description: bacterial SSU rRNA
Rfam family: Bacterial small subunit ribosomal RNA
Source: RNAcentral
CAUGCAAGUCGAACGGAAAGUGCCCAGCUUGCUGGGUGACUCGAGUGGCGAACGGGUGAGUAACACGUGGGUGAUCUGCCCUGCACUUUGGGAUAAGCCUGGGAAACUGGGUCUAAUACCGAAUAGGACCACGCGCUUCAUGGUGUGUGGUGGAAAGCUUUUGCGGUGUGGGAUGGGCCCGCGGCCUAUCAGCUUGUUGGUGGGGUAAUGGCCUACCAAGGCGACGACGGGUAGCCGGCCUGAGAGGGUGACCGGCCACACUGGGACUGAGGUACGGCCCAGACUCCUACGGGAGGCAGCAGUGGGGAAUAUUGCACAAUGGGCGCAAGCCUGAUGCAGCGACGCCGCGUGAGGGAUGACGGCCUUCGGGUUGUAAACCUCUUUCACCAGGGACGAAGCGCAAGUGACGGUACCUGGAGAAGAAGCACCGGCCAACUACGUGCCAGCAGCCGCGGUAAUACGUAGGGUGCGAGCGUUGUCCGGAAUUACUGGGCGUAAAGAGCUCGUAGGUGGUUUGUCGCGUUGUUCGUGAAAACUCACA